Molecule: ribosomal RNA, 496 nt
Filed under: uncultured bacterium
Lineage: Bacteria
Description: partial 16S ribosomal RNA
Rfam family: Bacterial small subunit ribosomal RNA
Source: RNAcentral
GAUGAACGCUGGCGGCGUGCCUAAUACAUGCAAGUCGAGCGAACAGACGAGGAGCUUGCUCCUCUGACGUUAGCGGCGGACGGGUGAGUAACACGUGGAUAACCUACCUAUAAGACUGGGAUAACUUCGGGAAACCGGAGCUAAUACCGGAUAAUAUAUUGAACCGCAUGGUUCAAUAGUGAAAGACGGUUUUGCUGUCACUUAUAGAUGGAUCCGCGCCGCAUUAGCUAGUUGGUAAGGUAACGGCUUACCAAGGCAACGAUGCGUAGCCGACCUGAGAGGGUGAUCGGCCACUCUGGAACUGGGACACGGUCCAGACUCCUACGGGAGGCAGCGGUAGGGAAUCUUCCGCAAGGGGCGAAAGCCUGACGGAGCAACGCCGCGUGAGUGAUGAAGGUCUUCGGAGCGUAAAACUCUGUUAUUAGGGAAGAACAAAUGUGUAAGUAACUAUGCACGUCUUGACGGUACCGAAGCAGAAAGCCACGGCUAACUACGU